GCCUGAGAGAUAAACUAACAGUGAGAGGUGAGCUAAACCUGAGAGCUAAGCUAAGCCUGAGACAUGAGCUAACAGAGGUGAGCUAAGCCUGAGAGAUAAACUAACAGUGAGAGAUAAACUAAGCCUGAGAGAUAAGUUAAACCUGAGAGAUAAACUAAGCCUGAGAGAUGAGCUAACUAAGAGAGGUGAGCUAAGCAUGCAAAAUCAGCCAACUGUGUUAUCCACAUGUUUUAAUUGAAUGAGGGAAAGCAGCAGGCCCUGCUGCUCUCCAGGACCUGUGA
This is a long non-coding RNA of Anguilla rostrata (American eel), 281 nucleotides long. RefSeq lists it as uncharacterized. NCBI's taxonomy places the organism in Eukaryota, Metazoa, Chordata, Actinopteri, Anguilliformes, Anguillidae. The record is from RefSeq and is a predicted model, not a curated record. The transcript is spliced from 3 exons.